Small nucleolar RNA from Ziziphus jujuba (common jujube), 97 nucleotides. RefSeq annotates it as small nucleolar RNA Z107/R87. The transcript has a single exon. The record is from RefSeq and is a predicted model, not a curated record. Lineage: Eukaryota; Viridiplantae; Streptophyta; Magnoliopsida; Rosales; Rhamnaceae.
GAUUGCAGUGAUGACUCUAUGAAAUUCAAACUUAACAGACCGGAAUGCAGGGUUAUAGUAUCUCUGCCUCUCGAUCGACACGCUAACUUCAGCGAUU